UGACGGCUGGUUCCACUGCUGACCCGUUGGAUAGAGAGGUAGAUCCAUUCUCCAAUCCUGACGAACUUGCUUCUUCCGGAUCUUGAGGGUCCUCUGCAUUUCUUGUUUGAGUUGCUGCUGGUGACUCUGUUUUAUACACAGACCUGAGAUGCUGAAUUAACACUGACCUGAGUCAAGAAGGAAUUUGCGGGGUGGCCCCACCGUCCUACGGGGCCGUUUCCGUGAGGUAGAGGAAGAUGAUGAAGAACAGGAAGGAGGAGGAGUGCUGUGACUGGAAGCCAAUCUGGACCUGGCCUCUCCAUCCGCUGGCUUAUAAUCACGGUCACCUGAAUGCAAAAUGGAGAUAAACUAAAAAAACGGAAAUUAAAUAUAGAGUACACAAACUGCUCUCCACUGACCUUGAUCAUCAAGAGCUCCUGCAUCAAUGAUGUCAUCUUCUUCCUCUUCUGCUGCCUCCUCCUUCUUGACCUCAGUGACCGCUCGUGCCAUGCUCUCGGACUUUCGAGGACGUCCCCGUCCACGUUUCUUUUGGCCUGGAACACAUACGUGAGAUAGCACAUUCUACAACUGAGCUUGGAUUCUCACAAGAUUUUUUUUUUCACCUUCUGUCAUCUCUGACUUGCUUAGAUUGGGUUUAACAGACUCUGAUCUGCUUUAAGAUAUUUAAAAUAGGGCUGGGCCACAUAGUAAAAAAAAAAAUCAAAUGCAUUAAAUAGCCCAAAUAUCCUCUCUGUAGGAGCAUCUGACGGGGAAAGCUGCUUAAACUUUACAUUUCAACUAUAAAGCCCUUCAUUUAAAGCAUAUAUUAUAAAAUAUUAUUCAGAUGUGGUCGUAUCAAAUAACUGUAUAUCCAUAAACUAUAUGCCUCAUACCAAUAUCACAACUUUUAUGGCGCCCUGGGCCAACCACCCCUUCUGCCACGUCUACAUGAAAUUAAAUUUACAUAUUUAUCUAUUUUAUAUAAAUGUAUAUAUUUAAAUCAUUCAGGAAAAUAAAAGAAAAAGUACAAUAAAUCUUCCCAAAACUGCACAACUGUACAGUAAAAAAAUUAAUAAAAUAAGUGAUGUUACAUAUGUUUAAAAAUAAAGUACAUUACAAAAUCA
Long non-coding RNA from Carassius gibelio (silver crucian carp), 1103 nucleotides. RefSeq lists it as uncharacterized. The record is from RefSeq and is a predicted model, not a curated record. Lineage: Eukaryota; Metazoa; Chordata; Actinopteri; Cypriniformes; Cyprinidae. The transcript has 2 exons.